UAGGGAAUCUUCCACAAUGGACGCAAGUCUGAUGGAGCAACGCCGCGUGAGUGAAGAAGGUUUUCGGAUCGUAAAGCUCUGUUGUUGGUGAAGAAGGAUAGAGGCAGUAACUGGUCUUUAUUUGUCGGUAAUCAACCAGAAAGUCACGGCUAACUACGUGCCAGCAGCCGCGGUAAUACGUAGGUGGCAAGCGUUGUCCGGAUUUAUUGGGCGUAAAGCGAGCGCAGGCGGAAUGAUAAGUCUGAUGUGAAAGCCCACGGCUCAACCGUGGAACUGCAUCGGAAACUGUCAUUCUUGAGUGCAGAAGAGGAGAGUGGAAUUCCAUGUGUAGCGGUGGAAUGCGUAGAUAUAUGGAAGAACACCAGUGGCGAAGGCGGCUCUCUGGUCUGCAACUGACGCUGAGGCUCGAAAGCAUGGGUAGCGAACAGG
This 429-nucleotide ribosomal RNA is filed under the name bacterium. RNAcentral's name for it is "partial 16S ribosomal RNA". It matches the Rfam family "Bacterial small subunit ribosomal RNA", at positions 355 to 776 of the family's 1533-position model. The record is from RNAcentral.